AACGAACGCUGGCGGUAUGCUUAACACAUGCAAGUCGAACGAACAAAAUUGGGGCUUGCUCCAAUUUUAGUGAGUGGCAAACGGGUGAGUAACACGUGGGAAUCUACCUAUCAGUACGGAAUAACAUUUGGAAACAGAUGCUAAUACCGUAUAUUCUCCAAGGAGGAAAGAUUUAUAGCUGAUAGAUGAGCCCGCGCAAGAUUAGGUAGUUGGUAGGGUAAUGGCCUACAAAGCCGACGAUCUUUAGCUGGUCUGAGAGGAUGAUCAGCCACACUGGGAGUGAGACACGGCCCAGACUCCUACGGGAGGCAGCAGGGGGGAAUAUUGGACAAUGGGCGAAAGCCUGAUCCAGCAAUACCGCGUGAAUGAUGAAGGCCUUAGGGUUGUAAAGUUCUUUUAGUUGGAAAGAUAAUGACGGUACCAACAGAAAAAGCCCCGGCUAACUCCGUGCCAGCCGCCGCGGUAA
This 466-nucleotide ribosomal RNA is filed under the name uncultured bacterium. Its description in RNAcentral is "partial 16S ribosomal RNA". It matches the Rfam family "Bacterial small subunit ribosomal RNA", at positions 29 to 523 of the family's 1533-position model. The record is from RNAcentral.